This 798-nucleotide ribosomal RNA is filed under the name uncultured Glomus. Its description in RNAcentral is "SSU rRNA". It matches the Rfam family "Eukaryotic small subunit ribosomal RNA", at positions 314 to 1114 of the family's 1831-position model. The record is from RNAcentral. Lineage: Eukaryota; Fungi; Glomeromycota; Glomeromycetes; Glomerales; Glomeraceae.
AUCAACUUUCGAUGGUAGGAUAGAGGCCUACCAUGGUGGUAACGGGUAACGGGGUGUUAGGGCACGACACCGGAGAGGGAGCCUGAGAAACGGCUACCACAUCCAAGGAUGGCAGCAGGCGCGCAAAUUACCCAAUCCCGACACGGGGAGGUAGUGACAAUAAAUAACAAUACGGGGUUCUUUCGGAUUUCGUAAUUGGAAUGAGUACAAUUUAAAUCUCUUAACGAGGAACAAUUGGAGGGCAAGUCUGGUGCCAGCAGCCGCGGUAAUUCCAGCUCCAAUAGCGUAUAUUAAAGUUGCUGCAGUUAAAAAGCUCGUAGUUGAAUUUCGGGACCAAUAUGUCGGUCGUGCCUCGGUACGUACUGGCAUCGUUGGUUUCUCCCUUCUGACGAACCAUGAUGUCAUUUAUUUGGUGUCGUGGGGAAUCAGGACUGUUACUUUGAAAAAAUUAGAGUGUUUAAAGCAGGCUCACGCUUGAAUACAUUAGCAUGGGAUAAUGAAAUAGGACGUUUGAUUCUAUUUUGUUGGUUUCUAGGAUCGACGUAAUGAUUAAUAGGGAUAGUUGGGGGCAUUAGUAUUCAAUUGUCAGAGGUGAAAUUCUUGGAUUUAUUGAAGACUAACUACUGCGAAAGCAUUUGCCAAGGAUGUUUUCAUUAAUCAAGAACGAAAGUUAGGGGAUCGAAGACGAUCAGAUACCGUCGUAGUCUUAACCAUAAACUAUGCCGACUAGGGAUCGGAUGAUGUUAAUUUUUUAAUGACUCAUUCGGCGCCUUACGGGAAACCAAAGUGUUUGGGUUC